UCGCGGAGUCGUCCCCAUGGAAAAAGCGCAAACAUCCCGAGACGUCUCCGUAAAGUACCGAGCCGACUCUCUCAGAAAAACAGAAGAACAAGCAUUCAAGUCGUUCUUCUUCAGAGUCGUUCCUGUAAAAGUGCCGAGUCGACUCCAAACACCGUCAAGAGAAAUUUUAUACAGCCGAGACGUCUCGCGUCGAAGCGGAGACGUCUCCGGAGCG
This 214-nucleotide long non-coding RNA is filed under the name Phoenix dactylifera (date palm). RNAcentral's name for it is "long non-coding RNA (PDAC_LNC013545)". The record is from RNAcentral. Lineage: Eukaryota; Viridiplantae; Streptophyta; Magnoliopsida; Arecales; Arecaceae.